This 465-nucleotide ribosomal RNA is filed under the name uncultured bacterium. RNAcentral describes it as "partial 16S ribosomal RNA". It matches the Rfam family "Bacterial small subunit ribosomal RNA", at positions 28 to 507 of the family's 1533-position model. The record is from RNAcentral.
GACGAACGCUGGCGGCGUGCUUAACACAUGCAAGUCGAACGGAAAGGCCCUGCUUGCAGGGUACUCGAGUGGCGAACGGGUGAGUAACACGUGGGUGAUCUGCCCUGCACUUCGGGAUAAGCCUGGGAAACUGGGUCUAAUACCGGAUAGGAGCCAUUUUUAGUGUGAUGGUUGGAAAGUUUUUUCGGUGUAGGAUGAGCUCGCGGCCUAUCAGCUUGUUGGUGGGGUAAUGGCCUACCAAGGCGGCGACGGGUAGCCGGCCUGAGAGGGUGGACGGCCACAUUGGGACUGAGAUACGGCCCAGACUCCUACGGGAGGCAGCAGUGGGGAAUAUUGCACAAUGGGCGCAAGCCUGAUGCAGCGACGCCGCGUGGGGGAUGACGGCCUUCGGGUUGUAAACUCCUUUCGCUAGGGACGAAGCUUUUUGUGACGGUACCUAGAUAAGAAGCACCGGCUAACUAUGUG